This is a long non-coding RNA of Hordeum vulgare subsp. vulgare (domesticated barley), 193 nucleotides long. RefSeq lists it as uncharacterized. The record is from RefSeq and is a predicted model, not a curated record. The transcript is spliced from 3 exons. NCBI's taxonomy places the organism in Eukaryota, Viridiplantae, Streptophyta, Magnoliopsida, Poales, Poaceae.
CAUAUCUACAGAAGAGAAAAAACAUGAUGGAAAUCAUGGUCAUUACAGGCCCAUAGAACUUGUUACGCUCCAGGGGCACCAAGAGUUGGUUGUGCAAAGCUUGUUUUCGGAUUUGGUAGCACUUUUAGGUUGGUGCCGUUGAACAAGCUAUUAAAUUUAUCCUAUACUUAGGAGGUGUUGCAUACUCUAUUUG